RNAcentral lists this long non-coding RNA (470 nucleotides) under Mus pahari (shrew mouse). Its description in RNAcentral is "predicted gene, 38150 (MGP_PahariEiJ_G0004323.1)". The record is from RNAcentral. Lineage: Eukaryota; Metazoa; Chordata; Mammalia; Rodentia; Muridae.
GCCUCUCUUACCGGAGUCCUGCUGUUUGCACAGUGCAGCUCUGCAGGAGUGCACUUUCUUUCUAACAGCUUCAUCUAACUUUGAGGGCUCCUCCCCCUGGCCUCCCUCCGAGGUUCUCUGGACAUUUAGGUAGUUUCCAAUUCUCUGUGGAAAUUAACCCCCAGGACUUCCAUCGUUAAAUACGAAAGUUUUCCCCACUUUCCUGAAAGUUACUGAGGACAAUUCUCAGAAGUGGACGUCAUGGGGCCCAAAGAACUGAGAGCUCUCUUUGAAGCGAUCAUCACAACUGUCUUCUAAAAGGCCUGUCCAGAGCCUGCCAGUACAACAUGGCCACCAUUAGGCAUCCCGCUGUGGGAAAAAUGUGUGUGUGUGUGUGUGUGCGCGCGCGCGCGCACGUGCUGUGAAGUGUGCAGAAGCCAAAGGUUUGCUUACCUGGCACUGGAACCCAAGAAAUAACCGAGACUCGCUAA